AAUCCAAUUCAAUUAAAUCUGAUACAAUCUCUAUUACUCAAUUAAAUUGAGCUAAUAACAUUCAAAUUAUUAAUUAAUUAUUCUUCUAAUUUAUCAACCAUUAGUAAAUAAUUUAUUACAAUCUUUGCAUAGGAUUAAUCAUCAAUCACAUUGAUAAUUAAAUUCUUCAAUGAUUCAUAAUCGUCGAUCAGUCAUUUGAUCAGAUAGGUACUUCUAUGUGUAUGACCCCAUA
RNAcentral lists this long non-coding RNA (232 nucleotides) under Elaeis guineensis (African oil palm). Its description in RNAcentral is "long non-coding RNA (EGUI_LNC049906)". Lineage: Eukaryota; Viridiplantae; Streptophyta; Magnoliopsida; Arecales; Arecaceae. The record is from RNAcentral.